UUGAACGCUGGCGGAAUGCUUUACACAUGCAAGUCGAGCGGCAGCGCGGGGGCAACCCUGGCGGCGAGCGGCGAACGGGUGAGUAACAUAUUGGAACGUACCCUGUCGUGGGGGAUAACACAGCGAAAGCUGUGCUAAUACCGCAUACGACCUGAGGGUGAAAGCGGGGGACCGUAAGGCCUCGCGCGAUUGGAGCGGCCGAUGUUCGAUUAGCUAGUUGGUGGGGUAAAGGCCUACCAAGGCGACGAUCGAUAGCUGGUCUGAGAGGACGACCAGCCACACGGGAACUGAGACACGGUCCAGACUCCUACGGGAGGCAGCAGUGGGGAAUUUUGGACAAUGGGGGCAACCCUGAUCCAGCCAUUCCGCGUGAGUGAAGAAGGCCUUCGGGUUGUAAAGCUCUUUCAGCCGGAACGAAACGGUACGCUCUAACAUAGCGUGCUAAUGACGGUACCGGCAGAAGAAGCACCGGCUAACUACGU
This 482-nucleotide ribosomal RNA is filed under the name uncultured bacterium. RNAcentral's name for it is "bacterial SSU rRNA". It matches the Rfam family "Bacterial small subunit ribosomal RNA", at positions 29 to 506 of the family's 1533-position model. The record is from RNAcentral.